This 421-nucleotide ribosomal RNA is filed under the name uncultured Acetivibrio sp. RNAcentral's name for it is "bacterial SSU rRNA". It matches the Rfam family "Bacterial small subunit ribosomal RNA", at positions 356 to 794 of the family's 1533-position model. The record is from RNAcentral. Lineage: Bacteria; Bacillati; Bacillota; Clostridia; Acetivibrionales; Acetivibrionaceae.
UCGGAAUAUUGCGGCAAUGGAGGAACUCUGACGCAGUGACGCCGCGUGCAGGAAGAAGGUUUUCGGAUUGUAAACUGCUUUAGACAGGGAAGAGAAAGGACAGUACCUGUAGAAUAAGCUCCGGCUAACUACGUGCCAGCAGCCGCGGUAAUACGUAGGGAGCGAGCGUUAUCCGGAUUUAUUGGGUGUAAAGGGUGCGUAGACGGGAAUACAAGUUAGUUGUGAAAUACCUCGGCUUAACUGAGGAACUGCAACUAAACUAUAUUCUUGAGUACAGGAGAGGUAAGUGGAAUUCCUAGUGUAGCGGUGAAAUGCGUAGAUAUUAGGAGGAACACCAGUGGCGAAGGCGACUUACUGGACUGAAACUGACGUUGAGGCACGAAAGUGUGGGGAGCAAACAGGAUUAGAUACCCUGGGUAGU